UACCUGGUUGAUCCUGCCAGUAGUCAUAUGCUUGUCUCAAAGAUUAAGCCAUGCAUGUCUAAGUAUAAACAAGUUUGUACUGUGAAACUGCGAAUGGCUCAUUAAAUCAGUUAUAGUUUAUUUGAUGGUGC
RNAcentral lists this non-coding RNA (131 nucleotides) under Rhizopogon vinicolor AM-OR11-026. Its description in RNAcentral is "Eukaryotic small subunit ribosomal RNA". It matches the Rfam family "Eukaryotic small subunit ribosomal RNA", at positions 1 to 130 of the family's 1831-position model. Lineage: Eukaryota; Fungi; Basidiomycota; Agaricomycetes; Boletales; Rhizopogonaceae. The record is from Rfam by way of RNAcentral.